UUGUUUUUCCUUAGCUCUUGGGAUUGGCUAAUAGAAGAUCUCUGCUGUGAAGCCCAUCUACAACAUGGCAGGGUCAUUUUUUCCCUCUGGCAAAGGAGUUUUUGUUUGCAACAGGUGAGGAUGAGUUGGUGCAAACAGCAAGCCUUGUGUAAUAGUAACUCCACCAAAUUUGAGGGUCUUUAUCACAGAACCUCACUCAGCGACUCAUACAAAAGAGGAUAAGAAACUGAUCUCUGGAAAGGAAGCACAGAAAUCUUCUGAGCUUGUGCCAGACCCCAGUGAAGUCCAAGUGAGGGCCCAUGUGCUCCAUCCUUGUCCUUUCCUGUUAACACAUGGAAUGCAAUGGGACAGCAGUCCUACUAAGAGCCUCUAGGGGCUACUGCAGUUCAAUAAAUCACAAUAUAUAAAAUGCAAACCCAGUUUUGAGUCUGAUAUGGGCUGUGUUAAUCUCUGGUGUGCUAUCUUGGACUUCAGAAGAGUUACAUUCAAUGGAAUAUUGCCCACUGAGCCUUUGCUGACUGCUCUCGCAUUGCCACGAAGGAUAAAGAAUCACAUAAUACUCCUGAGGGCACCUGUGCACUGCUGGCAUUGGACACCACUGGUGGAGGAAGCAGCGUGGCAAUCUUCUGCUAACAGCUCAGCUGAAUCCCAGGAUUCUGAGGAAGAAGAAAUGACUGAGCCCAGCACAAGUGGUCUGUAAAGCUGGAAGGGGCCUUCUCCACUGGGAUGAUCACAUGUUUGUGUACUCCCACACUCACAAAAUAUAAAAUUGUGAAAACAGAGAAGAGGAUUUUGAUAAUCUGUGUAGACAAUUCAGAUGUUUCAUAACAGUCCCCUGGACAAAGGCAGUAAGGUGGAGCCAUGCUAAGUCAAGAGACCUAAAGUUUUUUCCAAGAACUCUUACUUUAACAUACCAGAACUCAUGUCCUUCAGUUUUAACCUGAUAGAGUUAUGUAUAAUUGAUGUAGGGGUUGAGAAAGUCAUCUGACAUCAGCAUAAGGAAAAUGUUAAGCUUUCUCAGUUUCUAGCACAUGAUUUUUAAGAUGUUUUAAUCCUCUCCUUUUCAAGUGUGGAUUUACUGGGGAGGUCGAGGGGUCAUUAACACUUCCUCUGCUCCUCCACCAAUAACAGGCAAACUCAUCAAGGACUGGUGUUGGAUAGUGUUAUUUCAUUACUGCACAUACCUGUAUUUGGCUUUUUUUCCUUCAGCCAAGUUCUCAUCAUCCUAUUUCUUUAAUAUUAUUUGAAGUUUAGAAGUUGUCUUUAAUUUAAAUACCAUCAGCUCAAGGCUCCAAUAACAGACCUUACUGUUUUUAGACGUUGCAGAUGUUCUAGGAGGAAGAAAGGAGGCUUGCCCAAAAUUGUUUUGCUUACUACUGCAAGGACCAGAGCCACAAUGGAGAAGACGUUUCACCCUGUUGCACCAAUGCACGUGCCUCUGUGAGCAGUAGAGAGGGGCAAGAUCAUCACUAGGCAGCCUCUUGUUGCAGAUUGACAAAACAGAUGAAACUACAAUGGGGUAACUGGCACCAUAUCAAACAUGGUAAAGCAAGGAUAGCUCCUCUGCCUGCUGUAGUGGCAGGCUGAUACCUGCCUACAUAUCUUUUUUUGAAAGUCACUCAAGGAUGCACAGUUUUAUACAGCCAAAUACCCCUCUCUAUGUAAAUGUAUUUAGUCAGUGUCAUUUUAUGGUUAUGUAUGUGAAGGCAGAAGAAUAUGGCAUCACUAAGUGCACCCUCAGACACCAAGUGGAGGGGUAUGGUUGCCACACCUGAAGGAAGGGAUGCCAUCCAGAGGGACCUGGACAAGUGCAAAAAGUGGUUGCAUGGGCAUCUCAUGAGAUUUAAGAAGACCAAGUACAUGGUGCUGCACCUGGAUCAGAGCAACCUGUACUAUCAAUACAGACUGGGGAUGAACAGAUCAAGAGCCAGCCAAGAAGAGCUUGGGGGUGCUGGUGGAUAAGAGGCUGGGCAUGGCCUGGCAGUGUGCACUUGCAUCCCAGUAAACCAAUCAUACCCUGGGCUGCAUCCAAAGCAGGGAGGGGAUUUUGCCUCUCUGCUCUGCUCUCAUGAGUCCCCAUCUGCAGUUCUGCAUCCAGCUUUGAGGCCCUUAGGACAGGACACACUUUGACUUUUUGGAGUGAGUCCAGAAGACAGCCACUAAGAAGAUGAAAGGAAAAGAGUACCUCUCCUGUGAGAAAAGGGGAAAAGAAUUCCUGCAGAAGAGAAGACUUCAGGGUGAUGUGUCUGUGGCCUUCCGGUACCUGAAGGGAGACCACAAGACUGGUGGAGAGAGGCUGUCUACAAGAGCAUGACAGGACAUGGCUUCAAACUGACAGAGAGUAGGUUUAGAUUAAAAGAAGUUGUCUAAGGGUGGUGAGGCACUGAACGGGUGUCUUAGGUUGCAAAUGCAAGAUGUGGCUGGGGGUGUGUAUGCUAUUGCAAACUGUCAGAACCAGGUGGGGCAGUUUUCUUUAUCUCCUCCACAACCCAUCCUCCCUCCAGGAAGACAUCUUCUGUUAAUGGGCCAUUGAGUGUCACUGCAUGACUGACAAAAUUACAUCAUCUCAUUGUGAGAUGCUCCACCCAGGGGGAGGAGCCAAACAUUCUUACCUGGAUAUAAUCUGACAUUUAGAACACCAGUCUUCUCACACUGGAUUCCCAGAGAAGCAGCCUUUUCUUCACUGUGGUCCCAGAAGAAGACCAGGCCCAUCUACACCACCACUGGGCCUUCAGAAGAAAACUACACCCUUCUACAGGAUCAUUGCUCCAACAGAACCACAUCUGUCACUGCAGGAGCACUGCAGCCACCAUCCAACUGGACUGUUACCACCACCCUGACCCACAGGGUCUCAGGUCAUAUUCUGACUGUCAGUGUUGUUUUGUAUUACUGCAUUUUUGUUUUUACCUUUAUUUUUUGUAAGAAAGAACUGUUAUUCCUACUCCCAUAUUUUUUUGCAUGAGAGCCCUUUAAUUUCAAAAUUAUAAUCAUUCAGAGGGAGGAGGUUUAUAUUUUUCAUUUCAAGAGAAGCUCCUGCCUUCCUUAGCAGACACCUGUCUUUUCAAACUGAGACAACGGUUUUCCCAGAGAAGUUGUUAAUGUCCCAGGAAGCUCAAGGCCAGGCUGGAAUAGGCUCUGAGCAACCUGGUCUAGUGAAAGAUGUCCCUGCCCGUGAGAGGAGGGUUGGAGCAGGAUGAUUGUCAAGGUCUCUUCAAACCCAAAUCAUUCUGUGAUUCUAGGUAUUUUGGAUCACUUCCUCUCUGGAAAUACAAAAAAAAAACAAACCCAAACCGCAACCCACGUACACUAAAUAUAUGAAGUUGGAAAGGAACUAACUUCUGUUAAAUACUUUAAUGCAAUAGAAACUGAAAUGAUGACCAUAUGAUGAGUAGUGAAUGCAAGUUAUAUGAAGAAAAUGGCACAUCACCUCAACAUUAAUUACUUAAUGACACAAAACUGAUGAUAUAGAAACUGCUGUAGGUGCUCAAAGCUGAGUAUAGUCAGGCUAGUGUAACACUGAACUCCAAACAUAUAUUUGACAUUCUGCCAGAGGUAAUAUUCUUCUUUUUUUUUUCUCCCUUCUUGAGAUGAUUUCUUUUUCAUUCUUGUUUUUUGCUUCCUUCAGAUAUCUUCGUUUUCUCCAGCCUAACCCUCCUGGGACAGACAAAGAUAGAAAAACUUCAGUUAGCUGUUAUUUCAUUCUGCUUCAUUUAGCCUCUUAAAGUUGCUUACUUGCUUCAGAGACAGUCACUUUCUGGUAUGUGAGGACAAGAUGUUAUGAGGCACAUAGUAGUAUAGUACACCGAAGUUUUGAUCUAUUGUUAGAAAUGGAUGUAGGAAGAGAGGAAAAGGUUGAUCUUUUCUAAAGGAUAGAUUUAUAUAUUUAUAUCAAGGACUCUUUACAGGAGUAAACAGAAGUUAAAGGUACCACAGCUCAAGAAAAAUGGGUCAGGUGAAACUUACUAGUUUUCCUCUGACUUAGGCAAACUAGCUACCAGCCCUGUUUAGUGUUAGACAUAGGUUAAAACUUUCUGUGUGAUCAUUAUUUUCUUCCAAAACCAGGGUUACCACAACUUCCAUGUAGCUACAGGCCAUUGUCACAUGAUGUCAGUUUCAUGGCUUUCUCAGUGAGAGUUUGGCUCUUCUCAUCCCCAACUACCCCUUCUGGAGAAAAGCUGAGCAGAUCCCUGGCAAUUUGCUGAGUUGUUCUGGCCAUGAUUUGCAGAGAGUCCAUCACCUGCUGACAUAUGCCUGCCAUUCAUCUUAUAUUAAUCCCUCACUCAAGUCUCUUAUUCACAAAAAGGGGGUUGGAAGCAAAAAAGAUCAUAUUAUUUUUCCCUUCUAGAUAUCUUUUAAAUGUGACCUUUUGUCUCCUGCUCAGGUUUGUUUAUGUACAUUGGCACAUCAGAAAAGUGACUGGCAAUGUUAAAUACUGUGAUUUGAAUUAGUGGUUUGUGUAGCAUCCAAAUACUCUGAAUAAAGUACAUUACAAAAAUGCUGGAAAUUGACAUUACAUCUAUGUUUAUGCACAUUUCAGUUGCCAAGAAAAGAGCAGUUUGGCUGGAGGAUCCAACAAAAUCUGCUUAGUGGGUCUUCCUUGGCGAGAGCCCACUAAGCAGAUUGCUUUCACACAGUACUCCCUUAAUCACUGUAAAGAGGUUUCAGAGAGAUUAAUAAUAACUAGUGCAGUUGUUACACCCACGCACAGUGACUCAGACACACAGCCCAGGGAGAGUCUUUACCUGUGUGGGCCACACAGACACAUGCCAAUAUUUAGUCCAAUAAAGUUGUCUUUCCAGCAGCAUGAAUGAUAAUCUUGGAGGUAGAUGAUGACAGGGCCUGUCAAGCAAGCCCCUAUACUGAGACACAGCCCAAUAUAUAACAGCAUCUCACUAGAGCCACAUUAAAGACUGCAGUGAAAUCCUCUCACUCUCUCUCCCUUUCUCUCUCAAAUAUCAGCACCACUGAUUAAAACAAAAUAAUACCUAGUCCCAGCGUCAUGCUGUGCUGCAGUGAGAGGACUCUAAGAGUAAUGAGGGCCCAUUUGGUUUAAAUGAAUUUUUGGCGAGUGUUUCUGAGCGCAGGGUGAGGCAGCUGGCUGUUCGUCAGGCACGAUGCAGGCAGGAGGUGAUCAGACAGUGCUGUGCCAGCGGGGGGUGGUGGAGGAGUUCUGAGCUGCUGCUGCUCCUCAUGCUAAAUGUGUGCAUAGUCUUGGUGCUACUGACUGUGCUGGCCACAGCAGACACCCAUCUAUGGUUUUGUCUCUUUUGGACCUGUUAUUUAGCUUAAAUUUUGUGGGGUUUUUGUUAUCUCAUCCCCUGUGUCUGACAUAAAAGAGCAGCAAUUGUGAUGUGAUUAACCUCCCUGGGAACAGGGAGUGCUCAGGAAUACUCUAUCCAAGUCUUUAGUCAGCUACAGAUUAUCAGAGAAUAAUAAUUCAGUGGCCAUUACAGAGCAAGUUCCAUGUAGAAAUCGGAGUUAAAUAAUUAUGGAUUGCCUCCGGCUUGCAACUCAUUUGAUAGCAAAGCUCCUAUUGACUUCAAUGGCACGAGAGAUUGUGGAAGCCUUGGAAUAAAGGCAGGAGUAAGUCAACCAUAACAUUAUCUAUGGAAAUAAAAGCCUUCCAACAAGACAGACAGAGAUAAAUUGAGGACAAUUAGGAAGUAUUUGAGCUCUCAUUCCUACCUGAAAUGUCGUAAGUCAGGCUCUGAAUUAAUUAAUUUUAUGGUCAAAAAGCCAUAAAGCAAUAAGUCACUUUGGAGAGGAAGAGAAAAGCCAGAUCCUGUUUGGAUAACUUGAUCUCCUUCUAUGAGAAGGUAACCCAGUCGGAUGAGGGAAAGACUUGUGGCUGUUGUUUCCCUGGAUUUUAGCAAAGAUUUUGACACUGUUUCCUACAGUAUUCUCCUAGAAAAGCUGGCUGCUGACAGCUGAGAUGGGUAUACUCUGGGUAAAAGCCUGUCUGGAUGGCCUGGCCCAGAGAAUUAUGAUGAAUGGAGUUAAAUCCAGCUGGUCACUGGUGGUAUUCCCUAGGACUCUGUUCUGGAGCCAUUACUGUUUAAGGUUUUUAUCCAUGAUUUGGGCAAGGGGAUCAGGUGCACCCUCAGUCAAUUUGCAGAUGAUGUUAACAGUGCUGAUCUACUGGAGGGCAGCAAGGCUCUGCAGAGAGGCUGGAUCAAUGGGCCAAAGCCAAUUGUAUGAAGUCCAACUAGAUGAGGCACUUAGGUCAUCACAACCCUGUGCAGCAAUACAGGAAGAGUGGCUGGAAAGCUGCCUGGCUGAAAAGGACCUGGAGGAGGUGAUUGACAUCCCCUUACUGCAAGCCAGAAGGUGUUCAGGUGGCCAAUGGCAUCCUGGCCUGCAUCAAGAAUAGUGUGGACAGGAAUAGCAGGACCAGGGCAGUGAUCAUCCCCCUGUACUCAGCACUGAUGAGGCCACACCUUUAAUCUUGUGUUCAGUUUUGGAUGCCUCAUUACAAGAAAGACAUUGAGGUGCUGGAGCCUAGAGGAGGGCAGCAUAGCUGGAGAAGCAUCUGGAGCACAGUUUUGUUUGUUUGUUUUUUUCUUUUUUAGGGGUGGCUGAGGAAUCUAAGGUUGUUUAGCCUGAAGGAAAGAAGGCUUAGGGAAGUUUUACCAUACCAGCUGCCUGAAGGGAAGCUGUAGUCAGCUCAGGGCCGACCUCUUCUGCCAAGUGACAGAUGAAAGGAUGAGAAGAAAUAGCCUCAAGUUACACCAGGGGAGAUUUAGAUUUGAUAUUAGGAAAAAAUCUUCACUAAAAUGGUUGUCAAGCAGUGGAACAGGCUGCCCUGGGAAGUGGUUAAGUCACCAUCUCUGGAUGUAUUUAAAGGACAUGUAGAUGUGGUUCUUUGAGACAUGGUUUAGUGAUAGACUUGACAGUGUUACAUUUGUGGUUGGACUCAAUGUUAUCAAAGGUAUUUUCUAACCUAAAUUAUUCUAUGAUCCUUUUCCAUGAAAGCAGUAGAAACUUCUUUUCUGACCUUCAAUGUUGCCCUGUGGAGAGGGGGCACAGGAUUUAUUUGGGGCAGUACAAUGUUGUCCGGCUUACCUAAGGUUUUCUUUUCAAGUGGUUUCUCUAACCCCUCCACCCCCAGGCCAAAUCACACAGAGAAAAUUACAGGAAUAUGGAGAGGGGAAAUUCACAACAAAGUGUGAAGUACAAUGUGAAACUGGAAAAAAGGUUUGGUUUUCUUGUUUUAAGAGAGGAAGUCAAACAGAGAUUGAACUUGCACUUUUGUUUAAAGUUUUUGUCCUUUUGGCAACCUGCAGAAAACUCAAAAAACUUCAAUAGUCAGAAAAAUUUUUAGACCAGAAAUCACAUCAAUAAAUUUCUGCUAUCCAUCCCAAAGUUGUAUUAGCUCACUCCCACAAUUUUUGCUAUGAAGUAGGCUGCUUCUUUAAAUUCACAGUAUUCAGUGCUGUCAUUGUCUGCACUGUACACAGCUAAUCAGUUUAGUUACAGACUGGCUGGAUAAGACUGUUUCAGUAGCCAGUCCCCUAAAUGGAUCUACAGACCCUAAAAUAAAUUAGCAACUCAUAUAUUAUUUUAAAUUCCAGGCUAUUUGCUAGAAAGUAACAGGCAAUACAUAUGAUAAAGUGUGAAAGUGCCUGCAUUUAUGAAACAUGAGUGUGGCAAAAUAGAACUGAUUUUUUGUUUUUUUCAAAUCUCUACAUAUUUAUUGAAAUUGGCAACUUCAAUUAAUUUACUUAGUUGAAUUAAUUUGACUUAGGUGCAAGCCACAUGUGUUUUAGAAUUGUGUAAGUUGUUUGUCUCACUUGUUUUGCAUAAUCUGUCAGAAGCUACAUUGCAGAGGGCUCCAAAGAUCCUUUGUGGCAUAAAUGGCAUGAUGUGCUAUUAUGUACAGAAACCUCUCUUCACCUGAAGUAGCUUUUCAUGUAUUGUCAAGACUUUCCUACUCAACAGGAAGAGUUUCAAAAUAAGAAAGAAUAAACGGCUCAGCCUAUAGUCGUGUUUUAAUACAGUAGAAAAAAAGAACAAGUAAAUUGAUAAAAAGGUUGGAAAGAUGAAGGGAACAGGGAGCAAGGGAGAAGAGGCUGGCAUGAUCAAUAGUUUGCCGAAGGAAGCACUGCUGCUGUGAGGUCUGCACUCAGUUAUGAGAUAAGAGAGAAUGAUAGAACUUCACCACUAGAAGCCACAUAAGGUCAGAGAAAACCCACAGAGAGUGCGGGCUGUCCAGUGUGCCAUGUGCAAUAGCAGUGAUUAGGUGGUUUAAUGGUAACACAACUACAGAAAAAGUGUAGCUUAGAAGUCACUGUUUAAAUUUAUGAAAAAGUAGUGUCACUAAAAUAGUUAUGGGGGUGAAUUUUUUUUUCCCCUGCAUUCAUUUAUAACAUUUCUUUAUAAGUAAAAAUCUCUCUGCUAAACACUAGGAAGAAUAAUUUCAAAAUACAUAACAUAUUGAGACAUGGAUACUUCAUAGAUUUAUAGUUGCCAGUAAUUUAGUAUCUGAAUUUCCAGCAACGAACAUUUAAAUAGUUAAUAUGAGCAUGUAGUCCAUUUCUUUCCUGUCCACAAAUCUGCUUGAAUAUUCCUUCCUUUUCAUUUUAACUUACUCUAAGGAUAAUUUCCAAAAACUGUUGGUUGUUUGUGAUCAUCUUUCUGUAGGUUUUCAAAAAAAUCCAAAAAACCUCAAUCAAACAAGUUUGGAUUAUGUUAUUCACAUGUUAUUCACAUGUUAUUUCUGUGACACUACUGAAUAAGUAUGUGUCUGUGAAAGUGUUUGGUAGAAAUUUAAAGGAUUCCAAACCUGCUAUCAGUAAAAAUCUUAAAUAUUGACUGUUCUGAAGUACAUUUUUGACAGUAAUUUUUUUCUGCCAGAAUAUUUAUAGGAAGCAAACAUAAAAUGAACAGAAACACGUAAAUUUAAAAAAAAAUUAAAAAAAAACAACUUUGCCAGUUCUUUUCAGAUAGCUGCAAUAGUUCAUUAUCUUCUUCUUCCAAGUGGUGAAAAAUUCCUAUUCUAGUUGGUUUUUGAUGACGUAAACCAAAACUAUGUUCUAAUUGCCUUUGCAAAUCACUGUAGUGCUUAAUUUUUUUUCUUAAGAAUU
Molecule: long non-coding RNA, 9083 nt
Organism: Passer domesticus (house sparrow)
Lineage: Eukaryota; Metazoa; Chordata; Aves; Passeriformes; Passeridae
Exons: 3
Source: RefSeq, a predicted model, not a curated record